Mesocricetus auratus (golden hamster) is the source of this 224-nucleotide unclassified non-coding RNA. Ensembl annotates it as predicted gene, 27308. The record is from Ensembl. NCBI's taxonomy places the organism in Eukaryota, Metazoa, Chordata, Mammalia, Rodentia, Cricetidae.
AAGGAGUAGCCUGCGGAUAGCUGAAUGAAGUGGCUUUCAGAGCGCCAGGCAGACUCCGGGUGUCUUGGAGGCGGCAGCCAAGAAUCUGUCUGCGACUGCCAGGGCGGGAAGAAGCCGGUGGUGGUAGGGCUUCCAGAAUCGGGACGAGACUCGAAGCUUUCCAACUAAAUCUAAGCUAAACACCCAAGGAUCUUGACCAUGAAAUCGAAGAAAUCUAGCGUUUC